This 253-nucleotide ribosomal RNA is filed under the name uncultured bacterium. RNAcentral's name for it is "partial 16S ribosomal RNA". It matches the Rfam family "Bacterial small subunit ribosomal RNA", at positions 524 to 776 of the family's 1533-position model. The record is from RNAcentral.
UACGAGGGGGGCAAGCGUUGUUCGGAAUUAUUGGGCGUAAAGGGCGCGUAGGCGGUGCGGUAAGUCACCUGUGAAAACUCUGGGCUCAACUCAGAGCCUGCAGGCGAAACUGCCGUGCUUGAGUGUGGGAGAGGUGCGUGGAAUUCCCGGUGUAGCGGUGAAAUGCGUAGAUAUCGGGAGGAACAUCCGUGGCGAAGGCGGCCAUCUGGAUCAACACUGACGCUGAGGCACGAAAGCGUGGGGAGCAAACAGG